CUUGCNGUCGAGCGGCAGCGGGUCCUUCGGGAUGCCGGCGAGCGGCGGACGGGUGAGUAAUGCCUAGGAAUCUGCCUGGUAGUGGGGGAUAACGUUCGGAAACGGACGCUAAUACCGCAUACGUCCUACGGGAGAAAGUGGGGGAUCUUCGGACCUCACGCUAUCAGAUGAGCCUAGGUCGGAUUAGCUAGUUGGUGGGGUAAUGGCUCACCAAGGCGACGAUCCGUAACUGGUCUGAGAGGAUGAUCAGUCACACUGGAACUGAGACACGGUCCAGACUCCUACGGGAGGCAGCAGUGGGGAAUAUUGGACAAUGGGCGAAAGCCUGAUCCAGCCAUGCCGCGUGUGUGAAGAAGGUCUUCGGAUUGUAAAGCACUUUAAGUUGGGAGGAAGGGCAGCUAGUUAAUACCUGGUUGUUUUGACGUUACCAACAGAAUAAGCACCGGCUAACUUCGUGCCAGCAGCCGCGGUAAUACGAAGGGUGCAAGCGUUAAUCGGAAUUACUGGGCGUAAAGCGCGCGUAGGUGGUUCAGCAAGUUGGAGGUGAAAUCCCCGGGCUCAACCUGGGAACUGCCUCCAAAACUACUGAGCUAGAGUACGGUAGAGGGUAGUGGAAUUUCCUGUGUAGCGGUGAAAUGCGUAGAUAUAGGAAGGAACACCAGUGGCGAAGGCGACUACCUGGACUGAUACUGACACUGAGGUGCGAAAGCGUGGGGAGCAAACAGGAUUAGAUACCCUGGUAGUCCACGCCGUAAACGAUGUCGACUAGCCGUUGGGAUCCUUGAGAUCUUAGUGGCGAAGCUAACGCGAUAAGUCGACCGCCUGGGGAGUACNGCCGCAAGGUUAAAACUCAAAUGAAUUGACGGGGGCCCGCACAANCGGUGGANCAUGUGGUUUAAUUCNAAGCACCNCGAANAACCUUACCUGGCCUUGACAUGCUGANAACUUUCCANAAAUGGAUUGGUGCCUUCGGGAACUCAAACACAGGUGCUGCAUGGCUNUCCUCACCUCNUGUCCUGAAAUNUUGGNUNAAUCCC
This 1037-nucleotide ribosomal RNA is filed under the name uncultured Gammaproteobacteria bacterium. RNAcentral's name for it is "bacterial SSU rRNA". It matches the Rfam family "Bacterial small subunit ribosomal RNA", at positions 54 to 1087 of the family's 1533-position model. Lineage: Bacteria; Pseudomonadati; Pseudomonadota; Gammaproteobacteria. The record is from RNAcentral.